GAUCAUGGCUCAGGACGAACGCUGGCGGCGUGCUUAACACAUGCAAGUCGAACGAAAAGAGGGAAAUAGCUUGCUCUUUCCGGAAUUGAGUGGCAAACGGGUGAGUAACACGUAAACAACCUGCCUUCAGGAUGGGGACAACAGACGGAAACGACUGCUAAUACCGAAUAAGUUCCAAGAGCCGCAUGGCCCAUGGAAGAAAAGGUGGCCUCUACCUGUAAGCUAUCGCCUGAAGAGGGUUGUCG
RNAcentral lists this ribosomal RNA (245 nucleotides) under uncultured bacterium. RNAcentral describes it as "partial 16S ribosomal RNA". It matches the Rfam family "Bacterial small subunit ribosomal RNA", at positions 15 to 235 of the family's 1533-position model. The record is from RNAcentral.